CUCCUGCUAUCUUCUAAAUAAAAAUGGAGCUGUAACACUGAUUUGCCUAAGAGCUGUAGCACGGUUUGUCCAAGACCCAAGACCUGUGAUGCGCCGAGGGCUUUAAUGUCCGUCACUCCAAAUCUUUGUUGUGAUGAGACAAAGAACCGAGGAACAUACACUCGCAUGACAGAGACAACAGCCAAUCCCAUCAUGAGAUCAGCAGUGAGAUGACCCCACAAACUGGAUGGAAUAGAGGGAACCCCCACCACCCCACCCCUCCCAGUGGCUGCAGGAAAUCUCCAAGAUGUAUCUCAUCAUGGAACUUGGGCCUGCAAAACACCAAGCAGCUUUCAGCGUGGAGUCUGCCAAUCCACUUUGAGAGUGUUUUAAAAAUUGCAUGUAUAAUCCACCUGCCAAUGCAGGAGAUACAGGAGACCCAGAUUUGAUUUCUGGGUCCAGAAGAUCCCCUGGAGGAGGAAAUGGCAACCCAGUCCAGUAUUCCUGCCUGGGAAAUCCCAUGGACAGAGGAACCUGGUGGUCCAUGGGGUCGCAAAAGAGUUGGACACAACUUAGUGACCGAGCACACAUACUAAUCAAGCAAAGAAUCCUUUGUGAAACACUGAUUUUCGGGCUACCUCACCUCUUGCCUCUUGGAUUGUUGUCAUUGUAUCC
This is a long non-coding RNA of Bos taurus (domestic cattle), 654 nucleotides long. The record is from Ensembl. NCBI's taxonomy places the organism in Eukaryota, Metazoa, Chordata, Mammalia, Artiodactyla, Bovidae.